AUGAGCUUUUGCCAUUCUCUACAUAUCAUUAGGACUGAUAUGUGUUUUGCAUUUCAUGUAAUUCUGAGCAUGUUAUCUGCCUCAAAAUCACCAGAACAGAAUAUUCAACACUAUAUUAGAUAUCAAUAUCCCCACAACAGAUUUACAUCGGCCAUGUUUUGUCAUUAUUCUGAUGAAGUUUCAAGCAAAUUGAGUAAAAAUAAGAUGCUGAAUUCAAAGCAUUUUGAAAAUGACACACUUCCUGCUGCCAGUUGGUGGCGCUAUAAUUUUGACUCCUAAUAGUCACAUCUAUGCGAUCGGCAUCAUACAACGAACAAACCAAUGAAGUUUGAUCAAAAUCAAGGAAUGUAUGUGGAUGUUAUUAGACAUUUCCUGCUUGUCAUUUUUUGCCCUAAUUUCAACGCCUCGCCACGGGCAAACCGUUCGAGAUAUCAAAAAUCCCCUGGCAAUUUUUCAUCCCCAAUGUCUUGAGAUCAUGUUCACCGAGUUUCGAGGCAAACGGUUGAAAGUCCUCAGAGGAGUAUUUCAAAUUCCAGAGCAUGCUUUUUUUAAACAGCCCUGAAUAGCUGACUUCCUGUUGGGCGGAGCCUAUGAUAUAGAGCGCGAAAGUUGUUCAGCUCAAUGAGAUCUAUAAGUGUACUGAGUUUCAUAUAAAUACAUGCAAGUAUGUGUGAGCUAUGGUUCAAGAUAUAUGACUGUGUUCCAGGGGGCGCCGUAGAGCCCCUGUGCCACGCCCGGGUCCCAGCCUCUGCGGCGUCCUGAUGGCCGCAGGUUCCAAUGUGUGUGCCAAUUUUCAAGAGUUUUUGAGUAUGUUAAGGCCCCGAAAAACCCCCGGAAGGUUUAUAAAAAAAUAAAAAAAAUAAUAAUAAAUAUAGCUGCAAGCAGCGAUGGCGGGCUCAAGCCAUCAGUGCAAACGCCACCCCGGUGGCAUCAGGUAAACUGUGCCCAGUGGAGACAUACACAAUAACCCUCUAGCACAGGGGUGUCCAACCCUGUUAAUGGCGAUCGACUGUCCUGCAAAGUUUAGCUCCAACCCUACUCAAACACACCUGAAGCAACUAAUUAAUGUCUUCAGGAUUGCUUGAAAAUUAAAGGUAGGUGUGACUGAUUAGAGUUGGAGCUGAACUUUGCAGGAGAGUCGAUCACCAGGAACAGGAUUGGGCACACUUAAUUUAGCAGUUUGGAUUUAAGGGAUACAGCAAUGAAAGGGUUAAUCCAAACCAUCAAGAGACACACACAACACAAUAUAUAAAACUUGAGUAACACUUCCAAUAAGGUUUCAGUUAUUAACAUUAAUUAUAUUAAAUUACAUUAACAACAACUGUAUGGCAUUUAUUAAUGUGAGUCUCUCUCUCUGUCUUUCUCACACACUCACUUACACACACACACACACACACACACAAAUAAAUUAUUAUUAUUAUUAUUAUUAUUAUUAUUAUUAUUAUUAUUUUUAUUAUUGUAAGACUUUUCAAUAAGGAUUUAGUUUUUAACAUUAUAUAAGUUAACAAGUACAUCAUUUAUAUAGCAUUUAUGGAUCUUAGUUAAUAUUAUGUUCAAAAUGCAUUACUACAUUAUUAAUUAAAAUUUAUAGUUAAUG
Molecule: long non-coding RNA, 1597 nt
Organism: Cyprinus carpio carpio
Lineage: Eukaryota; Metazoa; Chordata; Actinopteri; Cypriniformes; Cyprinidae
Source: Ensembl